CUAGCUAAACAUAUCAAGUUGUCAUUUAUAGUACUCUAGUUCAAUUCCAACUAGGUCUUAACAAAACUCUAAUGAUACUCAUCGAACUAUCAUUUCCACAUAAAGCAAUCCUAUUGCUCUGUGAACUAACAAGUUUUCCUAGAACAUCCGGGGUUGGCGGAUCGUCUCACAAAAAAGUCUGCCAAACCCUAGAGUUUGCCAACCUUAGAGUUCGCCAAAUAGCGAAUUCCAACAAGGCGUCCCUCACAAGGGCGUACUAAUAAAUUCACGCAACAUGUCAACC
RNAcentral lists this long non-coding RNA (283 nucleotides) under Gossypium barbadense (sea-island cotton). RNAcentral's name for it is "long non-coding RNA (GBAR_LNC012268)". Lineage: Eukaryota; Viridiplantae; Streptophyta; Magnoliopsida; Malvales; Malvaceae. The record is from RNAcentral.